GCCUCGUUGGUGCUGCAGGCAGCGCGUCAGUCUCAUAAUCUGGAGGUCGUGAGUUCGAUCCUCACACGGGGCA
This 73-nucleotide transfer RNA is filed under the name Salmo salar (Atlantic salmon). It matches the Rfam family "tRNA". Rfam says of the family: Transfer RNA (tRNA) molecules are approximately 80 nucleotides in length. Their secondary structure includes four short double-helical elements and three loops (D, anti-codon, and T loops). The record is from Rfam by way of RNAcentral. Lineage: Eukaryota; Metazoa; Chordata; Actinopteri; Salmoniformes; Salmonidae.